GUGUGUGUAAUUUAAAAAAAAUAUCAAGCUGUGACCCUGAAAACAGAGACUACCCCUCUCGCACACC
Molecule: transfer RNA, 67 nt
Filed under: Python bivittatus (Burmese python)
Lineage: Eukaryota; Metazoa; Chordata; Lepidosauria; Squamata; Pythonidae
Description: tRNA-His
Source: RNAcentral